GACGAACGCUGGCGGCGUGCUUAACACAUGCAAGUCGAGCGGAAAGGCCCUGCUUUUGUGGGGUGCUCGAGUGGCGAACGGGUGAGAAACACGUGAGUAACCUGCCCUUGACUUUGGGAUAACUUCAGGAAACUGGGGCUAAUACCGGAUAGGAGCUCCUGCUGCAUGGUGGGGGUUGGAAAGUUUCGGCGGUUGGGGAUGGACUCGCGGCUUAUCAGCUUGUUGGUGGGGUAAAGGCCCACCAAGGCGACGAUGCAUAGCCGACCUGAGAGGGUGAUCGGCCACACUGGAACUGAGACACGGCCCAGACUCCUACGGGAGGCAGCAGUAGGGAAUCUUCCGCAAUGGGCGAAAGCCUGACGGAGCAACGCCGCGUGAGUGAAGAAGGACUUCGGUUCGUAAAGCUCUGUUGUUAGGGAAGAAUGGAUAUGUAGUAACUAGACAUGUAAGAGACGGUACCUAACCAGAAAGCCACGGCUAACUACGUG
This 488-nucleotide ribosomal RNA is filed under the name uncultured bacterium. RNAcentral describes it as "partial 16S ribosomal RNA". It matches the Rfam family "Bacterial small subunit ribosomal RNA", at positions 28 to 507 of the family's 1533-position model. The record is from RNAcentral.